This 490-nucleotide ribosomal RNA is filed under the name Limosilactobacillus vaginalis. RNAcentral describes it as "bacterial SSU rRNA". It matches the Rfam family "Bacterial small subunit ribosomal RNA", at positions 575 to 1063 of the family's 1533-position model. Lineage: Bacteria; Bacillati; Bacillota; Bacilli; Lactobacillales; Lactobacillaceae. The record is from RNAcentral.
GCGGUUGCUUAGGUCUGAUGUGAAAGCCUUCGGCUUAACCGAAGAAGGGCAUCGGAAACCGGGCGACUUGAGUGCAGAAGAGGACAGUGGAACUCCAUGUGUAGCGGUGGAAUGCGUAGAUAUAUGGAAGAACACCAGUGGCGAAGGCGGCUGUCUGGUCUGCAACUGACGCUGAGGCUCGAAAGCAUGGGUAGCGAACAGGAUUAGAUACCCUGGUAGUCCAUGCCGUAAACGAUGAGUGCUAGGUGUUGGAGGGUUUCCGCCCUUCAGUGCCGGAGCUAACGCAUUAAGCACUCCGCCUGGGGAGUACGACCGCAAGGUUGAAACUCAAAGGAAUUGACGGGGGCCCGCACAAGCGGUGGAGCAUGUGGUUUAAUUCGAAGCUACGCGAAGAACCUUACCAGGUCUUGACAUCUUGCGCUAACCUAAGAGAUUAGGCGUUCCCUUCGGGGACGCAAUGACAGGUGGUGCAUGGUCGUCGUCAGCUCGU